AGGAGUCUAAUACAUUUAUAUGUAUUAUGAUUAUUUCUUUCAAAUUAUUUUCAGUUUUCUGUUUACUGACAAAGCAUUUCCUUUUUUUAACUUUUAUUUUAGGUUCAGGGGAACAUGUGAAGGUUUCUUAUAUAGGUAAACUGUGUGUCACGGGGGUGUGGUGCACAGCUUAUGCGUCAUCCAGCUCCUUCCUUUUUCAAACGCUCCUGUUCUACACACUUGGCAUUGUAAUUUUCCUUGGAUUUCUGGAGGGCCUGAGUUAUGCUCUGAAUGGUUUGGACAGCUUCCAGAGUUCCUGCAACUUCUUCUUUAGUCUGUUUAGUAAGAAAUGAUUCAUCAAAACGACUGAACUAUAAAAACUCAAUAUCUGACCAAUCAAUUCUUUAACAGGAAAAAAACUGAUACCUUUUUAUGAGAUUUUACUUGUUCUUCUCCAUACUUCUGAACUUCCUUUAUUAAUUCUUGUAAUUUUCUAACAAGAUCCAAGUGACAAUUUGCUAAUUUCUCUGUAGAUGUUUUGAAUACAUCCCAUACUGGUGCAAAUGUUCUAAGAAAAUAAAAAAUAUGGGAAUAACUUACUAAAAGUAAAAAAGAAAAUUAAGGUUCUAACAGGGAAACAAUGGAAACAAUAGUGGUAUAUACGGCAACUUUAUUUAGGCAAAAGAUGAAAUUAAAAUAAUGAAUAAAAUGGU
Symphalangus syndactylus (siamang) is the source of this 692-nucleotide long non-coding RNA. RefSeq lists it as uncharacterized. The record is from RefSeq and is a predicted model, not a curated record. NCBI's taxonomy places the organism in Eukaryota, Metazoa, Chordata, Mammalia, Primates, Hylobatidae.